This 468-nucleotide ribosomal RNA is filed under the name uncultured bacterium. RNAcentral describes it as "partial 16S ribosomal RNA". It matches the Rfam family "Bacterial small subunit ribosomal RNA", at positions 28 to 507 of the family's 1533-position model. The record is from RNAcentral.
GACGAACGCUGGCGGCGUGCUUAACACAUGCAAGUCGAACGGAAAGGCCCUGCUUUUGUGGGGUUCUCGAGUGGCGAACGGGUGAGUAACACGUGAGUAACCUGCCCUUGACUUUGGGAUAACUUCAGGAAACUGGGGCUAUUACCGGAUAGGAGCUCCUGCUGCAUGGUGGGGGUUGGAAAGUUUCGGCGGUUGUGGAUGGGCUCGCUGCUUAUCAGCUUGUUGGUGGGGUAGUGGCUUACCAAGGCUUUGACGGGUAGCCGGCCUGAGAGGGUGACCGGCCACAUUGGGACUGAGAUACGGCACAGAGUCCUACGGGAGGCAGCAGUGGGGAAUAUUGCACAAUGGGCGGAAGCCUGAUGCAGCAACGCCGCGUGCGGGAUGACGGCCUUCGGGUUGUAAACCGCUUUCGCCUGUGACGAAGCGUGAGUGACGGUAAUGGGUAAAGAAGCACCGGCUAACUCCGUG